RNAcentral lists this ribosomal RNA (253 nucleotides) under uncultured bacterium. RNAcentral describes it as "partial 16S ribosomal RNA". It matches the Rfam family "Bacterial small subunit ribosomal RNA", at positions 524 to 776 of the family's 1533-position model. The record is from RNAcentral.
UACAGAGGGUGCAAGCGUUAAUCGGAAUUAUUGGGCGUAAAGAGCUCGUAGGCGGUCUGUCACGUCGGCUGUGAAAACCCGAGGCUCAACCUCGGGCCUGCAGUCGAUACGGGCAAACUAGAGUACUGCAGGGGAGACUGGAAUUCCUGGUGUAGCGGUGAAAUGCGCAGAUAUCAGGAGGAACACCGGUGGCGAAGGCGGCAUCCUGGACCGGUAUUGACGCUGAGGAGCGAAAGCCAGGGGAGCAAACGGG